UGACUUUGGCUAAUAAGGAGCUCUGUGC
This 28-nucleotide non-coding RNA is filed under the name Homo sapiens (human). The record is from RNAcentral. Lineage: Eukaryota; Metazoa; Chordata; Mammalia; Primates; Hominidae.